RNAcentral lists this ribosomal RNA (378 nucleotides) under uncultured Streptococcus sp. RNAcentral's name for it is "bacterial SSU rRNA". It matches the Rfam family "Bacterial small subunit ribosomal RNA", at positions 1000 to 1382 of the family's 1533-position model. Lineage: Bacteria; Bacillati; Bacillota; Bacilli; Lactobacillales; Streptococcaceae. The record is from RNAcentral.
CUAGAGAUAGAAAGUUACUUCGGUACAUCGGUGACAGGUGGUGCAUGGUUGUCGUCAGCUCGUGUCGUGAGAUGUUGGGUUAAGUCCCGCAACGAGCGCAACCCCUAUUGUUAGUUGCCAUCAUUCAGUUUGGGCACUCUAGCGAGACUGCCGGUAAUAAACCGGAGGAAGUGGGAUGACGUCAAAUCAUCAUGCCCUUAUGACCUGGGCUACACACGUGCUACAAUGGUUGGUACAACGAGUUGCGAGUCGGUGACGGCGAGCUAAUCUCUUAAAGCCAAUCUCAGUUCGGAUUGUAGGCUGCAACUCGCCUACAUGAAGUCGGAAUCGCUAGUAAUCGCGGAUCAGCACGCCGCGGUGAAUACGUUCCCGGGCCUU